RNAcentral lists this ribosomal RNA (433 nucleotides) under uncultured bacterium. RNAcentral describes it as "partial 16S ribosomal RNA". It matches the Rfam family "Bacterial small subunit ribosomal RNA", at positions 29 to 507 of the family's 1533-position model. The record is from RNAcentral.
AACGAACGCUGGCGGCAUGCCUAACACAUGCCAGUCGAACGAGACCUUCGGGUCUAGUGGCGCACGGGUGCGUAACGCGUGGGAACCUGCCCUUAGGUUCGGAAUAACUCCCCGAAAGGGGUGCUAAUACCGGAUAAUGUCUUCGGACCAAAGAUUUAUCGCCUUUGGAUGGGCCCGCGUUGGAUUAGCUAGUUGGUAGGGUAAAAGCCUACCAAGGCGACGAUCCAUAGCUGGUCUGAGAGGAUGAUCAGCCACACUGGGACUGGGACACGGCCCAGACUCCUACGGGAGGCAGCAGUGGGGAAUAUUGGACAAUGGGCGAAAGCCUGAUCCAGCAAUGCCGCGUGAGUGAUGAAGGCCUUAGGGUUGUAAAGCUCUUUUACCCGGGAUGAUAAUGACAGUACCGGGAGAAUAAGCGCCGGCUAACUCCGUG